Molecule: transfer RNA, 58 nt
Filed under: Ictidomys tridecemlineatus (thirteen-lined ground squirrel)
Lineage: Eukaryota; Metazoa; Chordata; Mammalia; Rodentia; Sciuridae
Description: Spermophilus tridecemlineatus (thirteen-lined ground squirrel) tRNA
Rfam family: tRNA
About the family: Transfer RNA (tRNA) molecules are approximately 80 nucleotides in length. Their secondary structure includes four short double-helical elements and three loops (D, anti-codon, and T loops).
Source: Rfam by way of RNAcentral
UAGCUCAGUUGGUAGAGUGCUUGCCUUGCAUGCAUAAGGACCUGGGUUCAAUUCCCAG